CCUACGGGGGGCUGCAGUGGGGAAUAUUGCACAAUGGGGGAAACCCUGAUGCAGCAACGCCGCGUGAGCGAAGAAGGCCUUCGGGUCGUAAAGCUCUGUCCUAAGGGAAGAAGCAUGACGGUACCUUAGGAGGAAGCCCCGGCUAANUACGNGCCAGCAGCCGCGGUAANACGUAGGGGGCGAGCGUUAUCCGGANUCACUGGGCGUAAAGGGUGCGUAGGCGGCCGNUUAAGCCAGGGGUGAAAGGCUACGGCUCAACCGUAGUAAGCCCUUGNAACUGAUUGGCUUNAGUGCAGGAGAGGAGAGUGGAAUUCCAAGUGUAGCGGUGAAAUGCGUAGAUAUUAGGAGGAACACAAGUGGCGAAUGCGACUCUCUGGUCUGUAACUGACGCUGAGGCACGAAAGCGUGGGGAGCAAACUGGAUUAGAUACCCUGGUAGUC
This 440-nucleotide ribosomal RNA is filed under the name uncultured bacterium. Its description in RNAcentral is "bacterial SSU rRNA". It matches the Rfam family "Bacterial small subunit ribosomal RNA", at positions 338 to 795 of the family's 1533-position model. The record is from RNAcentral.